UUUUCCGUAGGUGAACCUGCGGAAGGAUCAUUG
Molecule: ribosomal RNA, 33 nt
Filed under: Acer platanoides (Norway maple)
Lineage: Eukaryota; Viridiplantae; Streptophyta; Magnoliopsida; Sapindales; Sapindaceae
Description: partial 18S rRNA
Source: RNAcentral